UACGGAAGGCAGCAGUGGGGAAUAUUGCACAAUGGGCGAAAGCCUGAUGCAGCUAUGCCGCGUGUAUGAAGAAGGCCUUAGGGUUGUAAAGUACUUUCAUCGGGGAGGAAAAAACAAAACUAAUAAUUUUAUUUCUUGACGUUACCCGAAAAAGAAGCACCGGCUAACUCCGUGCCAGCAGCCGCGGUAAUACGGAGGGUGCUAGCGUUAAUCAGAAUUAUUGGGCGUAAAGAGCACGUAGGUGGUUUUUUAAGUCAGAUGUGAAAUCCCUGGGCUUAACCUAGGAACUGCAUUUUGAAACUGAAAUACUAGAGUAUCGUAGAGGGAGGUAGAAUUCUAGGUGUAGCGGUGAAAUGCGUAGAUAUCUGGAGGAAUACCUGUGGCGAAAGCGGCCUCCUAAACGAAUACUGACACUGAGGUGCGAAAAGCGUGGGGAGCAAAACAGGGAUUAGAUACC
Molecule: ribosomal RNA, 457 nt
Filed under: uncultured bacterium
Lineage: Bacteria
Description: bacterial SSU rRNA
Rfam family: Bacterial small subunit ribosomal RNA
Source: RNAcentral